This 1574-nucleotide unclassified non-coding RNA is filed under the name Zea mays. RNAcentral's name for it is "misc RNA Zm00001eb355330". The record is from RNAcentral. Lineage: Eukaryota; Viridiplantae; Streptophyta; Magnoliopsida; Poales; Poaceae.
GCACAACGCCACAGCCACCGCAGGCCAGCCGAGCGGGACGGACGGGACACGUGGCGGCACGUGUCUGUUCUCGGCCACCGUCGCCGGGAUAAAUUUUCCGAACCCAGUUGACCCGACCGCCGAUGAACCCUGGCCAGAUUCCUCGGCACGUGGGCCCACCUCACCAGCCUCAGCUGCCGCCUGCCUGACUUGGGCCCUGCCCCUUCCUGUACCUGUCCUCAAGGUCGCCCCCGCGCUGCCCAUCCCCCUCCCCCUCCUCCUUCCUCGGCAGCUCGUGGCGCUCCAGUCCACAGAGGAGAGGACACGACACGACGAGGGGCCAGGCAGCAAGCUCUGCUCAGUCCGUUCCGCGGGCCGGUCGGUCGGCGAUGGCGCGGCACGCGGGCACGGCGCUCCUGGACCUGGUGGCGGGGCAGGUGGACCCGGGCGCGCCGGGGUUCUGGCGCGACUUCCUGGUCGGCAUGCUCAAGCCGGCGGCGGCCACGGCCGUGGUGGCCAUGGCCGUCGGGCUCAGCUUCUCGCAGCGCCUGGGGCUCGAGGGCGAGAUGCUCUACGCCAUCGCACGCGCCUUCCUCCAGCUCUCCGCCAUCGGCUUCGUCCUCCAGUUCAUCUUCGCCCAGAAGAACGCGCUCUGGAUCCUCCUCGCCUACCUCUUCAUGGUGACGGUCGCCGGGUACACGGCGGGGCAGCGCGCCAGGCAGGUGCCGCGCGGGAAGCGCAUCGCCUGCGUCUCCAUCCUCGUCGGCACCGCCGUCACCAUGCUCCUGCUCGUCCUCCUCGACGUCUUCCCCUUCACCCCGCGCUACAUCAUCCCCGUCGCCGGCAUGAUGGUCGGCAACGCCAUGACCGUCACCGGCGUCACCAUGAAGAAGCUCCGGGAGGACGUCAAGAUCCAGAGGAACCUGGUGGAGACGGCGCUGGCGCUGGGCGCGACGCCGCGGCAGGCGACGCUGCAGCAGGUGAAGCGGUCGCUGGUCAUCGCGCUGUCCCCGGUGAUCGACAGCGCCAAGACGGUGGGGCUCAUCGCGCUGCCGGGCGCCAUGACGGGGCUCAUCAUGGGCGGCGCGUCGCCGCUGGAGGCCAUCCAGCUGCAGAUCGUCGUCAUGAACAUGCUCAUGGGCGCCUCCACCGUCAGCAGCAUCCUCUCCACCUACCUCUGCUGGCCGGCCUUCUUCACCAAGGCCUUCCAGCUCGACGACAGGGUCUUUGCAGACUAAGAUACAUGCUGGAUUGUAAUGUAACCGAGUCCCAGUUGUUUGAGCCUUUUGAGGUAGAAACAGAGCUAAGAGCUGUGGCUUUCGGUGUCACUGUUGAUGCUGAGUUCUUGGGGAGGCUCUCGGGCGGGUAUCGCGCGUUGGAUCCCCAUUUGACCAAACAGUUUUUAGAUAAUGGAAAAAAUCAAAAAUCAUCCGACCUUGGCCUCAAAUGAGCCUCAAAUAGCCUCAAAUGAGGUUACCGCCAAUUUGACCAAACAGUUAGGUGUGCUUUCAAUACAAAAAGGAACUUUACAAAAGCGCUUCUAAAACUUAGUUCAAGUUUGAGUUUGAAAAGUAUGUACAAUGUUCUUAGGGAAG